UAACACAUGCAAGUCGAGGGGCAUCAGGAAGAAAGCUUGCUUUCUUUGCUGGCGACCGGCGCACGGGUGAGUAACACGUAUCCAACCUGCCCUUUACUCGGGGAUAGCCUUUCGAAAGAAAGAUUAAUACCCGAUGGCAUAAUGAUUCCGCAUGGUUUCAUUAUUAAAGGAUUCCGGUAAAGGAUGGGGAUGCGUUCCAUUAGGUUGUUGGUGAGGUAACGGCUCACCAAGCCUUCGAUGGAUAGGGGUUCUGAGAGGAAGGUCCCCCACAUUGGAACUGAGACACGGUCCAAACUCCUACGGGAGGCAGCAGUGAGGAAUAUUGGUCAAUGGGCGCUAGCCUGAACCAGCCAAGUAGCGUGAAGGAUGAAGGCUCUAUGGGUCGUAAACUUCUUUUAUAUAAGAAUAAAGUGCAGUAUGUAUACUGUUUUGUAUGUAUUAUAUGAAUAAGGAUCGGCUAACUCCGUGCCAGCAGCCGCGGUAAUACGGAGGAUCCGAGCGUUAUCCGGAUUUAUUGGGUUUAAAGGGAGCGUAGGUGGACUGGUAAGUCAGUUGUGAAAGUUUGCGGCUCAACCGUAAAAUUGCAGUUGAUACUGUCAGUCUUGAGUACAGUAGAGGUGGGCGGAAUUCGUGGUGUAGCGGUGAAAUGCUUAGAUAUCACGAAGAACUCCGAUUGCGAAGGCAGCUCACUGGACUGCAACUGACACUGAUGCUCGAAAGUGUGGGUAUCAAACAGGAUUAGAUACCCUGGUAGUCCACACAGUAAACGAUGAAUACUCGCUGUUUGCGAUAUACAGUAAGCGGCCAAGCGAAAGCAUUAAGUAUUCCACCUGGGGAGUACGCCGGCAACGGUGAAACUCAAAGGAAUUGACGGGGGCCCGCACAAGCGGAGGAACAUGUGGUUUAAUUCGAUGAUACGCGAGGAACCUUACCCGGGCUUAAAUUGCAGUGGAAUGAUGUGGAAACAUGUCAGUGAGCAAUCACCGCUGUGAAGGUGCUGCAUGGUUGUCGUCAGCUCGUGCCGUGAGGUGUCGGCUUAAGUGCCAUAACGAGCGCAACCCUUAUCUUUAGUUACUAACAGGUUAUGCUGAGGACUCUAGAGAGACUGCCGUCGUAAGAUGUGAGGAAGGUGGGGAUGACGUCAAAUCAGCACGGCCCUUACGUCCGGGGCUACACACGUGUUACAAUGGGGGGUACAGAAGGCAGCUAGCGGGUGACCGUAUGCUAAUCCCAAAAGCCUCUCUCAGUUCGGAUCGAAGUCUGCAACCCGACUUCGUGAAGCUGGAUUCGCUAGUAAUCGCGCAUCAGCCACGGCGCGGUGAAUACGUUCCCGGGCCUUGUACACACCGCCCGUCAAGCCAUGAAAGCCGGGGGUACCUGAAGUGCGUAACCGCAAGGAGCGCCCUAGGGUAAAACUGGUGAUUGGGGCUAAGUC
RNAcentral lists this ribosomal RNA (1435 nucleotides) under uncultured organism. RNAcentral's name for it is "16S ribosomal RNA". It matches the Rfam family "Bacterial small subunit ribosomal RNA". The record is from RNAcentral.